AACCUUUGCUGUCUUGGGACGGAUCACCACUGCAAGAGGGGAAGUUGCUACUGUGAUGAAUUCUGCCAUGUGGCACCAGACUGCCACCCAGACCACAGUGUCCUCUGCAACCCUGGUAACUCACAUACAGGCCCGAUUCCACCGACAGCAAAGCUGGAUGCUAUGGCUGGCAGAGGCAAACCCUUUGCCUGCACUUCAGGCCAAAGCCGGGAUGUGGCCUAGAUGGUUCCUAAGGUCCCUGACAAUCCUGAGAUCUUGCAUCUUGUCUAUUUCAGGUCAAAGGUGCCUACAUGCUCCUUCUAGCUUUGUUUCCCUGAUGUUCCUUGCCACCUGCUACUCCUCUCUGAGCUACUUUUCCAGGUUCCACAGGGAGAGGUUCAGCUGUCCGUGGUAGACAUGAGGGUAGAGAGUGAGGUGGUUGGGUUCCACUUACCUUUCUAUCAUCUUGCAGUAUGGAUGUCUCUUGACUGGUACCGUGUAGACUUUUGAGGGCACACAGGAGUCUGCAGAGAGAUACUGGGGACAUUGAGCAGCAGCAGUGGGGUUGGGAGGCAGAAAUGAGGACAGGAACAUUUACCUUGUGUUUCUCUCAGCUUCUCAGAUGACCAAGAUGGUGCUGCAGAUGGUGCUGAGGAUGGAGAACCCACCAAGCCCCGCUAGGAGCCACCUAGACUGGAUGCAGAGCAUGUGAUGAGAGGAGAGACGGCAGACCUG
RNAcentral lists this unclassified non-coding RNA (714 nucleotides) under Homo sapiens (human). Its description in RNAcentral is "MUC20 overlapping transcript (ENSG00000280993.2)". Lineage: Eukaryota; Metazoa; Chordata; Mammalia; Primates; Hominidae. The record is from RNAcentral.